Molecule: ribosomal RNA, 468 nt
Filed under: uncultured bacterium
Lineage: Bacteria
Description: partial 16S ribosomal RNA
Rfam family: Bacterial small subunit ribosomal RNA
Source: RNAcentral
GACGAACGCUGGCGGCGUGCUUAACACAUGCAAGUCGAACGGAAAGGCCCUGCUUUUGUGGGGUGCUCGAGUGGCGAACGGGUUAGUAACACGUGAGUAACCUGCCCUUGACUUUGGGAUAACUUCAGGAAACUGGGGCUAAUACCGGAUAGGAGCUCCUGCUGCAUGGUGGGGGUUGGAAAGUUUCGGCGGUUGGGGAUGGACUCGCGGCUUAUCAGCUUGUUGGUGGGGUAGUGGCUUACCAAGGCUUUGACGGGUAGCCGGCCUGAGAGGGUGACCGGCCACAUUGGGACUGAGAUACGGCCCAGACUCCUAUGGGAGGCAGCAGUGGGGAAUAUUGCACAAUGGGCGGAAGCCUGAUGCAGCAACGCCGCGUGCGGGAUGACGGCCUUCGGGUUGUAAACCGCUUUCGCCUGUGACGAAGCGUGAGUGACGGUAAUGGGUAAAGAAGCACCGGCUAACUACGUG